ACGUCGUCGGGGGCGCGCCGGAGACGCCCGGACAGCGGGGGGCUCUCUGACCCGGCGGCUGCGAAUAAAUGGCCGGGAGGUCCGGGCGGCGCGAUGCUGGGCUCUCCCGCGGACUCGGACCGGCCUCGGCCGUCGCUCGGAUCCUGUUUUCUUCGUCCCUUUGGCCUUGUCCCCCGCGGCUGACCGCGGACAGGGAGACAGCUCUUGGUCUCUGCCACCUUCCGCUCCCCUCUGCGGCUGCCCAGGCCUCCGACGAGGGCCAGGUGACAUUUCACUCUGUCAUCUGUGUUUUGGACAUUUUCUCAUAAUGGAGUUCCCUGAUUUGGGGAAGCAUUGUUCAGAAAAAACUUGCAAGCAGCUAGAUUUUCUUCCGUUAGAAUGUGAUGCAUGUAAACAAGAUUUCUGUAAAGAUCAUUUUACCUACGCUGCACAUAAAUGUCCCUUUGCAUUCAAGAAGGAUGUUCAGGUCCCAGUGUGCCCACUUUGUAACAGCCCUGUCCCAGUAAAAAAGGACGAGAUCCCAGAUGUGGUGGUCGGUGCGCACAUGGAUGGAGGCUGUAAACGUCACCCUGGGAGGAAGAAAGAGGAGGAUUUGCUUUCAUUACAGGAAUUCCUCCCAAGAUGGAAAGUGAAUGUGGUUUUCUAGAAUCAUUCUGUUAGUGUGUGGUUUUUCCUAAGCUCCGCCUGGGAAAUGUCAAGGAUGUAAAGUCAGACAUGGGCGUUCCUGCUUUGGCGGUGUCGGUGCUCGUUCUGAAGUCCCGCGUCUGUGGUCUUUCCCACGUCGUGGUCAGUCGUGCCCACACGCCAGGUCCGCAGCUGACCCCGCGCGUGCGCCUCCCAGCCACGCGGCCUCUGCCCGGUCCCGCGUCACCCGCGCUGCCUCUGCUGCUGUCGAUUUCUGAGCCUUCGGGGAUUCCGUGUCACAGGUGGAGAGUAAAGUGACGAUGUGACUGUGUUCAAACUGGCCUCUUUCCGAACGUGAUUUGCACUUUGUGGACACUUUUAUGCUCUAGCACUUGCACACUUCCCACCGCGAGCAGCUCUGCCCCGAGCUGAGCCGGUCAGGGGCUUCUGUCCCUUAACCUCUGUCCCUUAAACCACCGACAGUGGAUCUCACUGUGUCUUCCUCACGUGGCUUGUGUGGCGAUCAGCCGUCUGAGCCCAGGCACGGGGGCGGGACUACACCUUCCCUGUUAGGGGUCCUUGUCCGGAGGUGGCCCCAGCCCGCCGCUCCUGUUCCACUGAGAGAACAGCCUGUGACCCUCUGACUGCAGGCAUUGGGGUGACACCGAGGGCUUUGGGGCCUGUCAGGAGAGCCGUCCUCUCCCGGGACCUCAGGGAACCGGAUGAAGAGAGAUACAUCCCAGUCGUAACCCCAGGGCGUCCAGCCGUGCGUUCCAGACAGCCCGCUGCUUGCGGAUGAACAAAAAUCCAAGCAGUUACUCUUUCUUUUUUGGUUUCAUAGCCUCAAACUAUAAUGGUUGUGACCAGCUAGAGGGGU
Balaenoptera musculus (blue whale) is the source of this 1501-nucleotide RNA transcript. It is a transcript of the gene named zinc finger AN1-type containing 2A, with no coding region annotated. NCBI's taxonomy places the organism in Eukaryota, Metazoa, Chordata, Mammalia, Artiodactyla, Balaenopteridae. The record is from RefSeq and is a predicted model, not a curated record. The transcript is spliced from 7 exons.